This is an RNA transcript of Otolemur garnettii (small-eared galago), 664 nucleotides long. It is a transcript of the gene named ubiquitin-fold modifier-conjugating enzyme 1 pseudogene, with no coding region annotated. The transcript has 2 exons. Lineage: Eukaryota; Metazoa; Chordata; Mammalia; Primates; Galagidae. The record is from RefSeq and is a predicted model, not a curated record.
AUGGAGCUGGACUGUAAGUUGGCGGACAAAGCCACCCGGCAUGUGGUGAGAUCCCGGUGCUGAAGACUAACGCUGGACCCCAAGAUCGGGAGUUGUGGGUGCAGCGACUGAAGGAGGAAUACCAAUCUCUUAUUCGGUAUGUGGAAAACAACAGGAAUGCGGACAAUGAUUGGUUCCGACUGGAGUCCAACAAGGAAGGGACUCGGUGGUUUGGAAAAUGCUGGUACAUCCAUGACCUCCUGAAAUACAAGUUUCACAUUGAGUUUGACAUUCCUUUCACUUGUCCUACUACUGCUCCAGAAAUUGCAGUCCCUGAGCUGGAUGUAAAGACAGCAAAGAUGUACAGGGGUGGCAAAAUAUGCCUGACUGAUCACUUCAAGCCUUUGUGGGCCAGGAAUGUGCUUAAGUUUGGAUUAGCUCAUCUCAUGGCUCUUGGGGUCCAUGGCUGGCAGUGGAAAUCCCUGAUCUGAUUCAGAAGGGCGUGAUCCAGCACAAAGAGAAAUGCAACCAAUGAAGGAGCAGGCCACUGAGGCUGGGCCAAGGGACCUUUGAUGGGCUGCCUUCCUCUUUUCCUGUGCACCUUACUUAUCUGCCUGCUUCCCCCUAUGCCCUAUACCCCUAGUUGUUACUAAGUAGCUACAGCAGGCCUAGCUGGAAAGAAAAA